AGAGAUGAGAAGUGAGAGUUGUGUGGAGGUAAGAAGAAGAGGAUGAGAAGCCGAGAGUUAUAGAGAGGGUGGGUUGUAGAGGUGGGUUAGUGAGAAGUUGAGAGUUGUAUGGAGAUGAUAAGAAGAGGAUGAGAAGGUGAGAGUUAUAUAGAGGGUGAGUUGCAGCGUGAACAAGUAGCUCAGCAUUCAGUCAAGCUACCCGCUUUAUAGAUUGUCCCUUCGAGUCAUCAACUCUCUCCAGAUAUAUUUAAAUAUACAUAUAUCUCUUCAUUGAAUUAUAAGUAACUACCCUUAGGUUUUGUACGUAUAUGAUGAUUUGAAUAACCACACAACUACAAUAGCUAAAAGUUUAAUGAAAAAAUUCGUCAAUCCUGAAUUUUGUAUGUACCGCAUCUACUAAUCAUCUUAUUAUUUUUUUAUGUACGGUGUGUAUAUAUAUAUUGAAAAUGAUAAUGAGCAAAAAAUAACACGGGGAUAGUUUAUAGUUUUGAAAGUUGAGUUAUUCUAGUGAUGAUUAUUGGGGAUGCCGAAUACGACACAAAACUUGCAUGUCGCAAGGCAAUGUGGCUAGGCACGGUAGUGCCGAAGGUGAAGGGGAUGCUGAAGGAACAAAACUUGCAUGUUGCAAGGUGAUGUGGCUAGGCACGGGGGUGCCGAAGGCACAAAGCUUGCAUGUUGCAAGGCGAUGUGGUUAGGCACAGGAGUGCCGAAGGCAAAUGAGGUGUCGAAGGUGACACAAAGUUUGCAUGUCACAAGGUGAUGUGGCUAGGCACGGGGUGCCGAAGGCAAAGGGGAUGCCAAAGGUGACACAAAGCUUGCAUGUCACAAGGCAAUGUGGUCAGGCAAGGGAUGUCAAAGGCGACACAAAGCUUCUGGAGCCGCUUAUGAGCCUUCAUCUCUUCGGCAUGGGUCUUGCCUUUCGGCAAGGGGGUCAGUACUGGCUUAGGAUGGGCUUAGGCCAGGCUAGGCAUGAAGGUACCGAAGGUGAAAGGAGGUUUGCAUUUGGAAUACUAGGCCAACCCUAGACUGAGACUCUUCAAAGUGAUUGAAAGGAGGGUUGCUUUAGUAGAUAUACGUCUUCGGCAUAUUGGUUCCUUGAAACCCCAUGGUGGCUUAGGCAUAUAUGGUGCUAAAUGAUAAGCUAAAAGGAGAUUAUUGAAAGGAUGCUGAAAGGCACUGAAGGAAAGAGAAUCGACAAAGGCUUCUUGUACCGGUUUCCAUAGACAGCGCCAAACUGUUGAUGCUCUUUUUGGGAGGUCAACUUAGAUAGAUGUGAAAUGGUGGAUGAUGUGUGAAGACGUGGGUCUUCAGCAUGUGCAAGUGCCUUCGGCAGGUUGUUACCUUCGGCUAGGUAAGUAAAGUAAAUAAGCAUGCAAAAGACAAGGUAUACAUGAUUCACCCGAAUAAUGGGCUACGUCCAUGAAAAAGGAUGCUCUCAUUAUGAUAAUGUUUGUUUACAUUUGAACUAGAGGAUUAGACUCAAAGAUAAAGGGAAAAAGGCCUAGGGCCUAAGGUACAAAGCUAAGAAUCAAAGGCCUAGGGGUUAAGUCCUAAGAUCCGGAGACCAGAGGACCAGAAGGGAGUCCAGAAGAGCGUGCCAGUCCCUUUCUAAGGAAAGAGUAGUAUUCUGUUAUAGGUAAAGGGGAGUCUUCAUCUCUUGUAGUUUUUCGAUGUGGGACUUGUGCAACUUGCUCUGGUGGUAACACGUGUCUCUGAAGAUUAGGUUGAGGGAGAAGUGAAGAAGAGAUGAGAAGUGAGAGUUGUGUGGAGGUAAGAAGAAGAGGAUGAGAAGCCGAGAGGGUGAGUUGCAGAGGUGGGUUAAUGAGAAGUUGAGAGUUAGAGGUGAGUAGAAGAGGAUGAGAAUGUGAGACUUUAUAGUGAGUUGCAGCGUGGACAAGUGGCUCAGCGUGAACAAAUUUAAUCUGUUUCUACUGUCUAGUUUAGAAUAACUCCAACCCACGUUGAAAAAUAUCAGGAAAAAUGUUUAUUACCUUUUUGCCCUUCCC
Molecule: long non-coding RNA, 2006 nt
Filed under: Prunus persica (peach)
Lineage: Eukaryota; Viridiplantae; Streptophyta; Magnoliopsida; Rosales; Rosaceae
Description: long non-coding RNA (PPER_LNC008423)
Source: RNAcentral